Molecule: ribosomal RNA, 939 nt
Filed under: human gut metagenome
Description: bacterial SSU rRNA
Rfam family: Bacterial small subunit ribosomal RNA
Source: RNAcentral
AGGGUUCGAUUCUGGCUCAGGAUGAACGCUGGCGGCGUGCUUAACACAUGCAAGUCGAACGGGAUCCAUCAGGCUUUGCUUGGUGGUGAGAGUGGCGAACGGGUGAGUAAUGCGUGACCGACCUGCCCCAUGCACCGGAAUAGCUCCUGGAAACGGGUGGUAAUGCCGGAUGCUCCAUCACAUCGCAUGGUGUGUUGGGAAAGCCUUUGCGGCAUGGGAUGGGGUCGCGUCCUAUCAGCUUGAUGGCGGGGUAACGGCCCACCAUGGCUUCGACGGGUAGCCGGCCUGAGAGGGCGACCGGCCACAUUGGGACUGAGAUACGGCCCAGACUCCUACGGGAGGCAGCAGUGGGGAAUAUUGCACAAUGGGCGCAAGCCUGAUGCAGCGACGCCGCGUGAGGGAUGGAGGCCUUCGGGUUGUAAACCUCUUUUGUUAGGGAGCAAGGCACUUUGUGUUGAGUGUACCUUUCGAAUAAGCACCGGCUAACUACGUGCCAGCAGCCGCGGUAAUACGUAGGGUGCAAGCGUUAUCCGGAAUUAUUGGGCGUAAAGGGCUCGUAGGCGGUUCGUCGCGUCCGGUGUGAAAGUCCAUCGCUUAACGGUGGAUCCGCGCCGGGUACGGGCGGGCUUGAGUGCGGUAGGGGAGACUGGAAUUCCCGGUGUAACGGUGGAAUGUGUAGAUAUCGGGAAGAACACCAAUGGCGAAGGCAGGUCUCUGGGCCGUUACUGACGCUGAGGAGCGAAAGCGUGGGGAGCGAACAGGAUUAGAUACCCUGGUAGUCCACGCCGUAAACGGUGGAUGCUGGAUGUGGGGCCCGUUCCACGGGUUCCGUGUCGGAGCUAACGCGUUAAGCAUCCCGCCUGGGGAGUACGGCCGCAAGGCUAAAACUCAAAGAAAUUGACGGGGGCCCGCACAAGCGGCGGAGCAUGCGGAUUAAUU